GGAUGAACGCUAGCUACAGGCUUAACACAUGCAAGUCGAGGGGCAUCAGGAAGAAAGCUUGCUUUCUUUGCUGGCGACCGGCGCACGGGUGAGUAACACGUAUCCAACCUGCCCUUUACUCGGGGAUAGCCUUUCGAAAGAAAGAUUAAUACCCGAUAGCAUAAUGAUUCCGCAUGGUUUCAUUAUUAAAGGAUUCCGGUAAAGGAUGGGGAUGCGUUCCAUUAGGUUGUUGGUGAGGUAACGGCCCACCAAGCCUUCGAUGGAUAGGGGUUCUGAGAGGAAGGUCCCCCACAUUGGAACUGAGACACGGUCCAAACUCCUACGGGAGGCAGCAGUGAGGAAUAUUGGUCAAUGGGCGCUAGCCUGAACCAGCCAAGUAGCGUGAAGGAUGAAGGCUCUAUGGGUCGUAAACUUCUUUUAUAUAAGAAUAAAGUGCAGUAUGUAUACUGUUUUGUAUGUAUUAUAUGAAUAAGGAUCGGCUAACUCCGUGCCAGCAGCCGCGGUAAUACGGAGGAUCCGAGCGUUAUCCGGAUUUAUUGGGUUUAAAGGGAGCGUAGGUGGACUGGUAAGUCAGUUGUGAAAGUUUGCGGCUCAACCGUAAAAUUGCAGUUGAUACUGUCAGUCUUGAGUACAGUAGAGGUGGGCGGAAUUCGUGGUGUAGCGGUGAAAUGCUUAGAUAUCACGAAGAACUCCGAUUGCGAAGGCAGCUCACUGGACUGCAACUGACACUGAUGCUCGAAAGUGUGGGUAUCAAACAGGAUUAGAUACCCUGGUAGUCCACACAGUAAACGAUGAAUACUCGCUGUUUGCGAUAUACAGUAAGCGGCCAAGCGAAAGCAUUAAGUAUUCCACCUGGGGAGUACGCCGGCAACGGUGAAACUCAAAGGAAUUGACGGGGGCCCGCACAAGCGGAGGAACAUGUGGUUUAAUUCGAUGAUACGCGAGGAACCUUACCCGGGCUUAAAUUGCAGUGGAAUGAUGUGGAAACAUGUCAGUGAGCAAUCACCGCUGUGAAGGUGCUGCAUGGUUGUCGUCAGCUCGUGCCGUGAGGUGUCGGCUUAAGUGCCAUAACGAGCGCAACCCUUAUCUUUAGUUACUAACAGGUUAUGCUGAGGACUCUAGAGAGACUGCCGUCGUAAGAUGUGAGGAAGGUGGGGAUGACGUCAAAUCAGCACGGCCCUUACGUCCGGGGCUACACACGUGUUACAAUGGGGGGUACAGAAGGCAGCUAGCGGGUGACCGUAUGCUAAUCCCAAAAUCCUCUCUCAGUUCGGAUCGAAGUCUGCAACCCGACUUCGUGAAGCUGGAUUCGCUAGUAAUCGCGCAUCAGCCACGGCGCGGUGAAUACGUUCCCGGGCCUUGUACACACCGCCCGUCAAGCCAUGGGAGCCGGGGGUACCUGAAGUACGUAACCGCAAGGAUCGUCCUAGGGUAAAACUGGAAA
RNAcentral lists this ribosomal RNA (1444 nucleotides) under uncultured organism. RNAcentral describes it as "SSU rRNA". It matches the Rfam family "Bacterial small subunit ribosomal RNA". The record is from RNAcentral.